AGAGUUUGAUCCUGGCUCAGGACGAACGCUGGCGGCGUGCUUAACACAUGCAAGUCGAACGGAAAGGCCCUUCGGGGUACUCGAGUGGCGAACGGGUGAGUAACACGUGGGUGAUCUGCCCUGCACUUUGGGAUAAGCCUGGGAAACUGGGUCUAAUACCGAAUAUGACCACGCUCUUCAUGGGGUGUGGUGGAAAGCUUUUGCGGUGUGGGAUGGGCCCGCGGCCUAUCAGCUUGUUGGCGGGGUAAUGGCCUACCAAGGCGACGACGGGUAGCCGGCCUGAGAGGGUGACCGGCCACACUGGGACUGAGAUACGGCCCAGACUCCUACGGGAGGCAGCAGUGGGGAAUAUUGCACAAUGGGCGCAAGCCUGAUGCAGCGACGCCGCGUGAGGGAUGACGGCCUUCGGGUUGUAAACCUCUUUCACCAGGGACGAAGCGCAAGUGACGGUACCUGGAGAAGAAGCACCGGCCAACUACGUGCCAGCAGCCGCGGUAAUACGUAGGGUGCGAGCGUUGUCCGGAAUUACUGGGCGUAAAGAGCUCGUAGGUGGUUUGUCGCGUUGUUCGUGAAAACUCACAGCUUAACUGUGGGCGUGCGGGCGAUACGGGCAGACUAGAGUACUGCAGGGGAGACUGGAAUUCCUGGUGUAGCGGUGGAAUGCGCAGAUAUCAGGAGGAACACCGGUGGCGAAGGCGGGUCUCUUGGCAGUAACUGACGCUGAGGAGCGAAAGCGUGGGGAGCGAACAGGAUUAGAUACCCUGGUAGUCC
Molecule: ribosomal RNA, 771 nt
Filed under: uncultured bacterium
Lineage: Bacteria
Description: bacterial SSU rRNA
Rfam family: Bacterial small subunit ribosomal RNA
Source: RNAcentral